This 29-nucleotide non-coding RNA is filed under the name Rattus norvegicus (Norway rat). The record is from RNAcentral. Lineage: Eukaryota; Metazoa; Chordata; Mammalia; Rodentia; Muridae.
UUGUCUAUAUAUAGAUGUGUACUCGGAGA